GAUAUCUAUUCUUAUUUGCCUAAUUUCCUCACUUAAAUGUAUCUUGUGAUUAAACAUUUUCUUAGCGAGCUUGGUCAGGGCUGCACCGAGUUUCUUUUCAUAAACAUUGGCAAGUGAAUUUAACAGCCUUGUUUGUAUUAGCUGGAGGUUUCAUUUGCAUAGUGAUUGUUCUUAUGAAACAAAAUAAUCACUUGCAGUUUAUGAAACUGUAUAAAUACUGGGGUCUGGAGCUGGGUGCCUGCGCAGGCCUUUUUCUUCCCACAUGGAAAUCCAUCCAUCCGGUUCAGGGAGGAAACCCAGGCUUCAGGAAGAGGAUUUUCUUGCUGGAGAGGUGUUUCUAGGGCUGUGGGCAUUGCCUGGUGGGUGGAACUUGUGGAGCCCAUUCAGGGGAGGGGCAAGGGAGGGAGGGGGGCCGAGGUGAGCGCAAGGAAAUGUCCAGACUCCAGUAUCUGCUCCUUUAAUGUUAUAUUCUUUCUGCCUUUUUGAUUAAGGUUGCAUUCUGGUGGCCUGAGGCCCAGUGUUGCCCACAGAUAUGUUUUGAUUGGGUUGUGCUGUGUCUAAAAGAAAUAAACCAACAUUGAAAAAUGUGGAGAUUUCACAGAAGCAUUCAUUCAGAUUUCUUGCUUCUCUCUCAUAAUAGCUGGGGUAGACUUGGGACUGCUAGGCCCGCUGUCCUGCUUAGUGACAGUCCUGGUGGUGGUGGGGGUGGAGGCUGCUCCAACAGGUGGGGUAUAUUCAUCACAGCCCCUCUGCUCACGUCACCCAUUUACGUGCCUGCCGGCCCUUGGGGAUUAGGGAUCCUGAUCGCAGUGGGUCUGUCCUCUCAGUGUCCUGCAAGCUUGAGGCUCCUGUGUUUCACUGAAAUGCUCUGUAGGCCCCUGCUGAUCUGUUAUGAGAUGUCUGCUCAGCCUUGGCCUAUUUGAGGAGCUUCCCCUGGGCCCCCUGGCUCUGCCCCAGGGGCUCUGGGUUCCAGGCCUCCUGAUGUCCGUAUUGGCCAGGGGCAGAGAUCUGGAAAAGGAGCCACUUUGGGAGGUCACACCCUUAUUCCCAGGAGCUUGCCUUUGCUCAGAACAUUCCUGGCCUCCUCUUCAGCAGCUCCCUUUAGAGCCUACUGCCCCCAGAAGACAGGCGUUUCAUGAUCUCACGCUGUUUUUUAGACUCAAGCAGCAUCGCCCAGCUUGGUCAGCAGGCUUGGACCGAAUAACUUCUUAGCUGAUUCUAAUACAUUUUCAAUCUACUCGUGUUGGGUGGGCCCAGAAUAACACCUGUACAGUUGCAGAUGGUUUGACAAAGGAUCUGGGCUGGAGUUGGUUUUAGAGCUAAGGAAUGGUGCCUGCUCCCCACCCCCCAGAUGACCCAGCAGAGCCCUCAGCUAUCUGGUAGCCUUUCUGAAGCCCCUUCACAUUGUAGGAGGAAAAGUCAGAAGUAACAGAGAAAGUGGGUGAAACAUUAAUGCCAGCAACUUCUUCAUUCUGCAGAACUCUGUCCCUUAGCCUGGGUAUCUUGAGCACCGGUUAGAAAGUAGCUCCUGUAAAUCCCAUUGUACCUCCAGGCCUUCAUCAUGUACAGCCCUGGUUGAAAACUAUACCUGUCGGUCCUAUAUAAAGGUCUGGUGUCCUUUAUAUAGUAUCUCAUGUUAUCCUCACAGUAGCUUUAAGUGGUAGUGAUGUUAUCCCCAUUUUAUAGAUGAGCAAACUAAGGCUCUGAGGCCCAAGGUUACACAGCUGUUGAAUGGAGGAGCUGAGAUUUGAACCCAGGCCUCCUGGCUCUAGAGCCUACUCUCUUAAUAUCUAUCUACCUAUCUAUAUAUCUAUAUAUCUAUCUAUAUAUAUAUAUACACACACACACAUAUAGUAUAUAUGUAGAUAGUAGAUAUAUAUAUACAUAUAUAGUAAUACAUAUAUAUGUAGGUAGUAGAUAUAUGUACAUAUAUAGUAUAUAUGUAUGUAUGUGUGUGUGUACACACAUGGGAGUAUUACAAGGAAAAAAUGACCUAAGAUCUUAUUGUUACAUCUACUGAGACUUCCCAGGUGGCUCAGUGGUAAAGAAUCUGCCUGCCAGUGCAGGAGACCAUGGAAACACGGGUUCAAUUCCUGUGCAGGAAGAUCCCCUGGAGGAGGAAAUGGCAACCCACUCCAGUAUUCUUGCCUGAAAAGUCUCAUGGGAAGAGGAGCCUGACGGGCUACAGUCCAUGAGGUCGCAAAGAGUCAGACAUGACUGAGUACGCACACACACAACCUCUACUGAUUAGAGCAGGAACAUGGACUUGGGCAUGGUGAGGUUUUUCUUUUUUUAAACUAUUAUUAGAUGGUGUCAUUAAGCAUGAUGCUUUCUUCACUUUUCUAUUUUUGAUCAUUUCACUGCUCUGAACAGAAUUUCCCCCCAAGAUCCUGAGGUUGUAAAUUUCCUUUGGAGAGAGGCUUGUACCUCUAACUGUUUGAGGCAGGGAGUAGCACGGAGAAACCUGUAGGGUCUUCUGGAAAGAGAAAGAGCAAACAGCUAAGCCAGACAUUCUGUUUUGAUAGAACUGGCUGGCUGAAGAGGAAUCCUAUCAGUUGGGAUGGAAGACGUGAAAUCCAGGUUCAAAACAGCUCAAGCAUAAAGAGGAUGUAGUAUCUUAUACUUAUACCUGAAGUCUGGAGAGAGUGUGGCUUCAGAGUGCUUUGUGAGGCAUUGAACACUGUCAGCAGUAACUCAGGUGCCUUCUGUCUUUAUGUUCUGUCCUGCUUAAUAUAUUGGCUCUUGGCUACAGAUGUCUCCUCAUGGUGAAGAAAUGGCUGCAUUGGUGCCAGACAUCACACCCUCACUCAUCAAUGUCCCAAAACCAGAAGAGAGAAGCUCCCUUACACAGGUCUGUCUUUAGAGGAAGCAUACUUUUCCUAAAUGGCCUUCUGGUCCCUCCCUUGUGUCUCAUUGGUAAGAAUGGCCUCCCCUGCAGAUCCUAGACCCACACAGGCUAGAGUAUAGAGCAUCACUCCUGGGGCUCAUGAGAGCCCCAGCUUUCCUUAGAUUUAGUGACUUCUGGAGAUAGUCAACAAGAAAGAAAUGGAUGUGGGGAGGUACCCAGUGCUGUCUGGGGACAAGCAGUCUCCAGGAGGCCUGUGCCAACGCCUGUGUCUCUUUCCAUGCAAGGUUCUGGAAUACCUCCCUCAUCUCAUUAUGGCCCUCUCCCAUAUCCUGAUCUUCCUAGUCCCUCUUUCCCCACUUCCUGUUCUAGGACUACAUCAUUCCUUUGUCUUUCCCUCUGAUGGAAUCACUUGCCCCUCUUUCUUGUCUGAUUGGUUCAUUCUCAUCCUUCUGGACUCAGUGCAGUGCCGCCUUUCCUGACUACUUAUCUCCCAAACUGGGUCCACUGCUCUUGAUCUCUAUUUUUUUUUAAAUUGUCAUGUUAGUCUCAAUAGGAAUUUAUUUUUGUGUUUACUUGUUUAUGGUCUUCCUUUUGCACUGGACUCUCAGCUCUAUUUGAGACAGGGACUGAGUUUGACUUGUCCACUCUGUGUCCCUAGGCUUCAGGAGAAGGACCAGUGGGGAGGAGGAGGGAUUUAGCAAGAGCCUGGCAUGGAGCAGGCAUUUAGUAAAUAUGCACUGGAUGGAGGACCUACCGGAAUCCCCCGUCUCUUUCCUCUGCCUCAUCUGUUUCUGUAUCCCUCUCCCUUGGACUCCAAAUUCCUUCCUGUGUUCUUGGCUCUUUGAGGAAGAGGAGAGACAAAAUAUCUCCAUGAGUCUGUGGACCAUUUUCUCUUUACAGUGGCCAGGCUGCUGACGCCUGUGUAGAUGCUUGGCCCAGUGGCUGAAGCCAGUGGGCAGCAUGGAUGCAUGUCUGGAUGUCUGGAUCUGACCCUUGCCCACAUGUGUCCCGAGGACUCAUGGCUUUGCCCCAAGGAGGCAAAGGGGGUUAUAUUUUGUGGCUGGGAGCUCCCUCACCUGUGAGACUGAGGAGCUGGCCCCUUUGCAGGGGCCUAUUGGGUCCAUCCCAUUCCUGGCAAAGCCAUUUAGUUAUUAGUCUUGCUGAUGUUAAAUUGUAAGGCUGGCAUGGGAGCCAGCUCAUUACUUUGGACAAGUCAAAGGUGGAGAUGGUUGGCUGUAGUUCUGUGAAGUUUAAAGACAGGGAAUCUGAAUACUUUUGAGGAAUUUUUUGACCCAAAUAAUUAGGUUGACCUUUGACUCAGAUGAAGUGGAUUCUAGGGGACACUCCCAUGAUGUGUUACCAUACGACUGGGCAGGGGGAGAGAAGAGGGCAAUCCCUGGCUAGGUUGGCCAACACUGAGGUUUGGGUGAGGGCACAGCAGGGGUCUUGACCCAAAGGUGGUGGGUGGGACAGUUUGGAUGCGCUUGAAGCUCUUCCUCAUUUGGGUCCUCAGACUGCCAGAGACAUCACUCAGAGCUUUAGGCUGAGGUCUCUCCUGCAGGGCAGAGAAAGAACCUGCCUGCAGCUGCAGACCUCUUCUCCAUGGCUGGUCGUACAGCAAAUCAUAGCCUUGCUUCUGUGUGCAGGCGAGACCCAGCGUGUGUGUACACGGGUCCACGCGGGCCUUGCCUGGGGCCCGGCGCCCACCCCAGGGACCCUUUGGGGAAUGCGUUGGCUGCAGUUUGAGCCUAAUGAGCAAAGUAUUAGGUGGUGGGGCUGCAGGUUCCCUGCCGGAGCUUGGUCUCCCCGAGGCCCGCAAAGUGGAGCCAUUGAAGACGGCGGAGGCUUUCCUAGCGCCUGCUGUUGCUUUUAGGGAUCUUGCUUAUGUUGCCUUUUCUUUUUCAGUGGGAAGUGUCGGUGUGAGUAAUUAUAUAUAUUUUCACAAACUCGAACUAUGCUUCAUUUAAACUUCUAUAAACAUGUCUGUAUAAUUCUAAUUAACUGCUCGCAUAAAGCCAUCAGAAAGUUACACGGGGAAAGCUCAUUUGCCAGACUGUUGCCUAAAAGCCAAGGAAAAUAUUAUGUUCUUCCAACAAACGGACUAUUCAUGUAGGCCGUUCCCAAGAUAAACAGGAGAUAUUUGAGGACAAGUGAGAUUUGAAGCAGGGAUGGCCGAGCCUCUUGUAAGUGGUGUUCAGCAGUGUUGGCAGGGUGGGUGGCUUGAUUGAGUGAUAAAUGCUCUUCAAGAAAAAUGCCCCGGACUUGGAAUGUGGGGUCAGGACCCUGGAGAUGGGCCAUCUUGUGGUGUUCUUGUUAAAGUCUGUGGGCAGGAGGCCACUCUGAAUUAGUGAAAAGUCUGAAUCAGAGAAGAGUCAAGCUCUUUCAGUAGUUUGUGCUUGGGUUACUAAGACAGUGUGGGCAAAAGAGAGCCUUGGGGCUGCUUUAAUAAGGGGGUCGGGAUGACUUAAAGUCAACCUCAUUCAUUCCUUCUUUCAUUCACUCCUCCUGUCGAUUAUUGCUAGGCACCUGGGCACCUGACCCAGAGCCACAGUAGGGCUCUGGGUGUGACAGCCAACCAACAUUUGUGCCCUCCUGGAGCCCAUGUCUGGUUGUUGGUGGUGGCAGGGGGGUAGUGAACAUGGUAAGUGAGCACCCAUUGUGUGGUGUGUUAGUGAUCAGGGCUCAGGAGAGAGUGAAGGGGGAGCGGGAUGGGAGCCCGACUUGGUGGGUGUGGUUUUCAGUUGAGUCAAGGAAGGUCUGCCUCCCUGAAGAGGUGACUGUGAGUGAAGACAUGAAGGAGGUGCAGACUUUCUGGGUAGUGAGAGCAGCAUGUGCAAAAGCCCCGUGCAGAAGAGUGCUUGGGUGUCUGAGAAAGGUGAGAAGGCCCGGGUGCCUGGAGCUGAGCAGGUGAUGGGGAGAAGUGGGUGAUGACGUUGGACAGCUGAUUGAGGGGCAGGGAAAUGUAAUCCAGUCUUUUAUUAUAUGCAAGAAGACACUUUUUAAAAAAACUUUUUGGCUGCACCUCUUGGCAUGUGCAAUCUUAGUUCCCGGACCAGGGAUCGAACCUGCUCCUGCUGAAUUGGACGGCAGAGUUUAACCAUUGGACCAUUCCAGGGAAGUCCCAGAAGAAGAUACUUCUGAACUGCUUUUCCUUUACUUCAUAAGAUGAAAAAGACUUCAACAUUUUGUCACACUUGCUCUAUCGCAGAUGGUGUGAAUAAUAUACAAAAAUAUAGAGAAGAAAAUAAAAUCCCCCCAAAUAUCCCUUUGCAGGGGGUCACUGUUUCACGUGUGGGAUGCUCCUUUCAUGCCUUCUCAUUUUAUCAUCUCCUCUAGCUUCUUUCCUCCCAGCCUUUGCGAAGGUUGUUGAGAAAUGCUCAGUCAGACCCCUGCUUAGUAUCACAGGUGACUAUUUUGAGAUGGAAGAUUGAGGAGUUUUUUUUGUGCUCUUAAAAAACUUGAAAUUAGAGUCCAGGUAGUUUUUUAGGUGGUUUUUGACAGCUGAAAAAACGGUUGCAAAGGAAGCCUCUGGAGGGCUGAUGGUUUUGUGUAGACACAAACUUUCAGUGGUAACAGUGAACUUUUUUUGAGUCCUUACUAGGUCCUAGGUGCAAGACAUAAGUAGUUUUUGCUCAGUUCUCUUAUUUUUGCCAAUGUUUUACUGUGGAUAAAACAGACACACACACACACAAAGAAAAAAAAACAAAGAGAACAUAAAACUGACUCUUUAGACCAUUUUUGAGUGCACAGUUCAGGGUAUUAAGUGUGUUCAUGUUGUUGUGCAGCCUUCUCCACUCUCCAUCUCCAUAAUUUUUCAUCUUGUAAAACUGAAGUUCUCAACACGUUAAACAAUAACUCCCCACUUGCCUCUUCCUUCAGCCCCUGGUAACUACUAUUUUCGUUUCUGCCUCUAUGGAUUUGACUACUCUCAGUACCUCAUAGAAAAAUGGAAUCAUACUGGGGACUGCCCUGGUGGUCCUGUGGUUAAGGCUGCCUGCAUCCAUGGCAGGAGGUGAGGGUUCCAUCCCCGGUUGAGGGUCCCACAAGCCGUAUGGCUUGGCCAAAAGAAAAGAGAAAAAAGUGGAAUCAUACAGUAUUUGAUUUUAGCACAGUGUCCUCAAGGUACAUCCGUGAUGUAGCAUCCACUGCGUAGAUACACUGUUACUUUGUUGACCCAUUCAUCUGUCAGUACACACUAGGUUAUUUCCAUCUCUGGGCUGUUGUGAACAAUGCUGCUAUAAACAUGGGUGUGUGUGUGUCUGUUUCGCACCCUUCUUUCAGUUCUUUUGACUAUAUACCCAGAAAUAAAACUGCUGAAUUAUAUGGUGAUUCUACUUUUAAUUUUUCUGUAGUGGCUACACCAUUUUAUAUUCCCACCAACAAUGGGCAAGAGUCCCAUUUUCUUCACAUCCUUGACACUUGUUAUUUUCUGUUGUCUUUUCUAACUUUUUUUGAUAGUAGCCAUCCUCUUGUAUGAGGUGGUGUCUCAUUGUAGCUUUGAUGUGCAUUUCCCUAAUGAUUAGUGAUGUUAAACAUCUUUUCAUGUAUUAUUGACCAUUUGUAGGUCUUCUUUGAACAAACAUCUAUUGAAGUUUUUUAUUUAUUUUUGAAUCAGAUUUUUUUUUGUUGUCGAGAUUUUGGAGUUUUCCAUAUAUCCUGGAUAUAUAAUUUGCAAGGGCUUUCAUGGUAACUCAGACGGUAAAGAAUCUGCUUGCUUUGCGAGAAACUGGGGUUCGAUCCCUCGGUCGGGAAGAUCCCCUGGAGAAGGGAGUGGCUACCUUCUCCAGUAUUCUUGCUUGGAAAACCCCAUGGGCAGAGGAACCUGGCGGGCUACAGUCUAAGGAGUCGCAAAGACCUGGAUUCAACUUAAGUGACUGAACAUGCACGAUCAUUUACAAGUCUUUUCUUUCAGUCUGUGUCAGUUUUCUUGUAAUUUUGAAAUAAUCUCUAUGAAGUUGUUGUGAUUAUUAUUAUUGGUAAUAAACUGAGAAUCAGGGAGGUUAUUGACUUUCCCCAAAUCACACAGAUAAUCAGAGCUGAUAAUGGGACCUCAACAUUUGAAUCCUAAUUCUGGGCAGGAGUUGGGUUCCAGGCUUCACAAGGCCAUCUGCAUGGAAACCCAUGUGAAGGCAUUCGGGGCAUCCUUAUGGCAAGGAGCCUGGCUCCCCCGCUAUCCCCAGGCUUACCAUGUGGCCCCUGCUGCCCUUCUUCCCUGGGCCAUGUCGAGGUGCUGCCUCUCUGCUCUGUACUCUCAGGAGAGGCACCUUAGAAGGUUCUCUCUCGGUCCUGUGGGCUGGGUGGAUCAGCGGUGGAUGCCUUCACGCAUAUCCGUUCAGCCCAGCCCUUGGCAUGUGGCAGCCCUUUUUAAUAAGCAGAGCUUUUAUUACUGGCAAAUUCUUCUAAAACCCUGUCGGGCCUUAGAAGAGGGAUACCUGUAGCCCUCUGUGUCUCAGGGGCUGAGUGAAUUAGACUUGGAUGUGAGGGUCAGUUUGUAGCUGCUUCAUUCAUUCACUCCCUCAUUCAUUCAUAUCCUGGUGUGAUUUUUUUUUUUUCCAGCAAGGAGAUUCCCCUGGUCUCAAGUUUCCGGAGGCACCCGGUACAAUCUAGAUUCCAAUUAGCUUAAUUGCUUCAUAUUAGACUUCUUAGAAAAGAUUUUUUUUUCCUGCUGAUGGCUGCGGUUCCAGGAAUGUCUACCCCCACCGCCUUCCUUCCUGCCUCCUCCCAAGCUUGUUUCUUUCAACUUUAUUUCUCCAGGACUGCUGCUGCUGCUGCUAAGUCGCUUCAGUCGUGUCUUCUCCAUACCUAUUAGUCUCAGGGCUAUAGCAUCAGUUCAUGUUGGAGAGGCCAAAGCAGGGUGGAGAAACAGAAAAAACAGAAACAGUGUGGACACCAGAAAGAAAUUGUAUAUAAGAUACAUAUAUAUAUAUGAAAUUUAUAUGUAUCAUACACAUAUCUUGAUACAUUCACAUAUCUCUUUAAACAGAAAAUUCCUCGUUAGUUGUGUGUGUGUGUACAUUUCAGUGAAAGAACUUGGACACAGACUCUACCCUGAGUUCUGACCCUCUCCCUUUUCCUCUUGCCAUCAACACCAGAUUUUUUAAAAAGUACUUUCAACAACCAGAGGAAACAGUUACAUCCUGAUUGACACACAGGAUGUUGGAGCAGCAUUCUUGCUGUUAAGUGAUCAGGAUUUCAGCCAAGGGAAUAUAAUGAAAUCCACAUAAAAAUUUAUUUACCUAAUGAAAAUCCUCGAGUAAUGCAUAAGUGGUUCUCUGAUAAUAAAAUGCAAAUCUAAAACUAUAACCAGGAGGACAAUAAUCUUCAUUAAACGUAUUGUCUAGAGGAAGCCCAUGACAUCCACUUAACAGUGAUUUGAUUUGUUCAGUAAUUUCCACGUAAUAUUUAAACUUUAUUUCGAGCCUUAAAAACCCACCCAUGAGUUUCUUUCCCAUCGGCGAGGAGGGCGGCUGCUGGUGGGUGAGGGUGCCUGCCUGGCGAGUUUCAUGGCCUCUGCAAUGGGCACCUAGAACACAGUCCUUUUCUAGGUGACUCAGUGUCUGCUGGAGAGACGGGGUCCAGGGAGAGGCAGCAAGGGCUCAGGUUUCCUUCUGUGGAGGAGACCCAGAAAAGCUCCUCCUAUUCUGUAAAAAAAGUAAGAUCAGAUGACUAGAAGGGUUUGGGUGAGCCUCCCAGGUUUCUCCCUGAGCCCAGUGCUCCUGCCUCCUGGAGAGCUGACCAGGGCUGAGGACUUCAGUGAUGCUCUCCCAUCACUCGAGUGCUGGUGGACAUCUCUGCAGAUGCUCCCAGGACCACCUUGCAGCCUCCGUCCUUUAGGAUUGAAUCCAUCAGACUCCUCUGUCCAUGGGAUUCUCCAAGCAAGAAUACUGGAGCGGGUGGCCAUGCCCUCCUCCAGGGGAUCUUCCAGACCCAGGGAUCGAACCUGCAUCACCUGCGUCUCCUGCUUUGCCAGGUGGAUUCUUUACCGCUGAGCCGCCGGAGAAGCCCUUGUGUCUGAGUCCGUUUGUCCAAUUUGAAACUGAUGAUCUAUGCCCUAGAGGACCAAAAUGAACCUUUGAGACUUUGAACAAUCAUGAAAUCCCAAAUAAACAGCAGAUUAAGGUUACUACUGUGUGUGUAUGUGUGUGUAUAUGCACAUGUGCUUGUAUGUGUGUGAAGUGUUCUCAUCAAAGAAAAUGAUAUUCGCAUUCUUCCAAAUCUUUUUUUCCUCCGCUUUUCUUUUCUUAUCAAGUUGCAACUUUGUUUCUCUUUGAUCUGAUGCAGUGUGCCGUGAAAAUCUAUUAAAAUGAAAGGAAGAUAACAAAAUCAGCCGUAAUCUCUUUCUAGAGGGGGCAUGGGACUGCAGCUAAGAACGAAGGCCUUUUCAAAUGCCAGCCAGCUCCGGGCUCACUAGCCGUGUGCCCUUGUCCUUCCUGGCCUCAGUUUCCUUGCCUAGAAGUCCGCAUUAACAUGGUUUUUCUGCACAGUAGUGAAGAUUAAACAAGAUAAUGUUUGUAAAGUGCUUGGCAGAGCGCUGGCACUCAGACAGCGCUUAAUAAACGGGAGCUGCUUUGUUGUCUGAGAAAAGGUUGCGCUGAACAGAGGCCGGUGAAAUGGAGAAGUGAGGCUCUUAUCCAGGUGGUGCUGCCAGCCGCCGGCAGGCCGGCCAGCCCUAGUGCCCAGAGCUUCCAUCCAAGGGCUGGCUCAGGUUACUCCCGGCCCAUUAACAAUGCUGGUCCAAGCUUGGAGCCUCUUAAGUUCAAGGUCAAUCACAGGCCUUAUCCCCCACCGGGCCUCUCUGCUUUGCCGAGUCAUUAGUCACCAGGGUGGCCUGAUGAGAGCGUGGGGAUGACUCAGUGAGGCUGAUCCCUUCUUCUGGGCCACACCCCAGGGCAAGGCCUUGCUGGCAGAGGGUCCGUAGUGUCGGCCAUCCAGAGAGAUUGAGGUUCCAUUCACAUUCCUGGAAAAGUAGUUAAAUCCUGGCUUUGCAUAUGACUAGCCGGACAAGUCAUUUCACCCGUCUGAGCCUCAGUUUUCUCAUCUGCUAAAUGGGGGUAGCAGUAGUAUUUUAUCUCAGAAGGUUGCUUUGAGGAGGCUAGGGGAUGGAACAGGCUUACUAGCCUGCAGUGAGCAAUCCUACUG
This is a long non-coding RNA of Bubalus bubalis (water buffalo), 10987 nucleotides long. RefSeq lists it as uncharacterized. Lineage: Eukaryota; Metazoa; Chordata; Mammalia; Artiodactyla; Bovidae. The transcript has 2 exons. The record is from RefSeq and is a predicted model, not a curated record.